AUGCCACGUGCUGAUGGUCCCUUUAAGGUGUUAGAGAAAAUAAAUGAUAAUGCAUAUAAACUUGAGCUGCCUGCAGAUUUUGGGGUUAGUCCCACUUUUAACAUUGCAGAUUUGAAGCCUUGUUUGGGUGAGGAAGAUGAGUUUCCAUCGAGGGCGACUUCAUUUCAAGAAGGGGAGGAUGAUGAGGACAUCAAUACCAUUGUUACACCCACAGCCCCUACUGCUACAUAUACGGGACCAAUUACUAGAGCUCGCGCACGCCAAUUAAAUUAUCAGGUACUUCCGUUUCUUGGUAAUGAUUCUAAUGUUCAUGAGAAUAUGAUGCUGCCUAAAUUGGAUACAUUUGUUUUGCUUACAAAUGAAGGGCCUAGCUUGGAGAAGGAUGAACAUUGGAGCAAGAACAAGCAUGGAGAUGAUGCCAUGCGCAAGGGGAACAAGAACGGAGUUACAAGUGAUGAUUUCAGGACUUUGAAGCCACCAUAA
RNAcentral lists this ribosomal RNA (483 nucleotides) under Triticum aestivum (bread wheat). Its description in RNAcentral is "partial small subunit ribosomal RNA". Lineage: Eukaryota; Viridiplantae; Streptophyta; Magnoliopsida; Poales; Poaceae. The record is from RNAcentral.